AGCAGCCGCGGUAAUUCCAGCUCCAAUAGCGUAUAUUAAAGUUGUUGCAGUUAAAAAGCUCGUAGUUGAAUUUCGGGAUUAGUACGCUGGUCGUGCCUUUGGUAUGUACUGGUGUUACUGGUUCCUACCUUCUGACGAACCGUCAUGUCAUUAAUUUGGUGUGGCGGGGAAUCAGGACUGUUACUUUGAAAAAUUAGAGUGUUUAAAGCAGGCCCGCGCUUGAAUACAUUAGCAUGGAAUAAUGAAAUAGGACGUUCGAUCCUAUUUUGUUGGUUUCUAGGAUUGACGUAAUGAUUAAUAGGGAUAGUUGGGGGCAUUAGUAUUCAAUUGUCAGAGGUGAAAUUCUUGGAUUUAUUGAAGACUAACUACUGCGAAAGCAUUUGCCAAGGAUGUUUUCAUUAAUCAAGAACGAAAGUUAGGGGAUCGAAGACGAUCAGAUACCGUCGUAGU
RNAcentral lists this ribosomal RNA (450 nucleotides) under uncultured Glomus. Its description in RNAcentral is "SSU rRNA". It matches the Rfam family "Eukaryotic small subunit ribosomal RNA", at positions 569 to 1024 of the family's 1831-position model. The record is from RNAcentral. Lineage: Eukaryota; Fungi; Glomeromycota; Glomeromycetes; Glomerales; Glomeraceae.